RNAcentral lists this ribosomal RNA (1393 nucleotides) under human gut metagenome. RNAcentral's name for it is "bacterial LSU rRNA". It matches the Rfam family "Bacterial large subunit ribosomal RNA", at positions 1164 to 2541 of the family's 2925-position model. The record is from RNAcentral.
CGGAAGAUGUAACGGGGCUAAACCAUGCACCGAAGCUGCGGCAGCGACGCUGAUGCGUUGUUGGGUAGGGGAGCGUUCUGUAAGCCUGUGAAGGUGUGCUGUGAGGCAUGCUGGAGGUAUCAGAAGUGCGAAUGCUGACAUAAGUAACGAUAAAGCGGGUGAAAAGCCCGCUCGCCGGAAGACCAAGGGUUCCUGUCCAACGUUAAUCGGGGCAGGGUGAGUCGACCCCUAAGGCGAGGCCGAAAGGCGUAGUCGAUGGGAAACAGGUUAAUAUUCCUGUACUUGGUGUUACUGCGAAGGGGGGACGGAGAAGGCUAUGUUGGCCGGGCGACGGUUGUCCCGGUUUAAGCGUGUAGGCUGGUUUUCCAGGCAAAUCCGGAAAAUCAAGGCUGAGGCGUGAUGACGAGGCACUACGGUGCUGAAGCAACAAAUGCCCUGCUUCCAGGAAAAGCCUCUAAGCAUCAGGUAACAUCAAAUCGUACCCCAAACCGACACAGGUGGUCAGGUAGAGAAUACCAAGGCGCUUGAGAGAACUCGGGUGAAGGAACUAGGCAAAAUGGUGCCGUAACUUCGGGAGAAGGCACGCUGAUAUGUAGGUGAAGUCCCUCGCGGAUGGAGCUGAAAUCAGUCGAAGAUACCAGCUGGCUGCAACUGUUUAUUAAAAACACAGCACUGUGCAAACACGAAAGUGGACGUAUACGGUGUGACGCCUGCCCGGUGCCGGAAGGUUAAUUGAUGGGGUUAGCGCAAGCGAAGCUCUUGAUCGAAGCCCCGGUAAACGGCGGCCGUAACUAUAACGGUCCUAAGGUAGCGAAAUUCCUUGUCGGGUAAGUUCCGACCUGCACGAAUGGCGUAAUGAUGGCCAGGCUGUCUCCACCCGAGACUCAGUGAAAUUGAACUCGCUGUGAAGAUGCAGUGUACCCGCGGCAAGACGGAAAGACCCCGUGAACCUUUACUAUAGCUUGACACUGAACAUUGAGCCUUGAUGUGUAGGAUAGGUGGGAGGCUUUGAAGUGUGGACGCCAGUCUGCAUGGAGCCGACCUUGAAAUACCACCCUUUAAUGUUUGAUGUUCUAACGUUGACCCGUGAUCCGGGUUGCGGACAGUGUCUGGUGGGUAGUUUGACUGGGGCGGUCUCCUCCUAAAGAGUAACGGAGGAGCACGAAGGUUGGCUAAUCCUGGUCGGACAUCAGGAGGUUAGUGCAAUGGCAUAAGCCAGCUUGACUGCGAGCGUGACGGCGCGAGCAGGUGCGAAAGCAGGUCAUAGUGAUCCGGUGGUUCUGAAUGGAAGGGCCAUCGCUCAACGGAUAAAAGGUACUCCGGGGAUAACAGGCUGAUACCGCCCAAGAGUUCAUAUCGACGGCGGUGUUUGGCACCUCGAUGUCGGCUCAUC